GUGCUUCGGCAGCACAUAUACUAAAAUUGGAACGAUACAGAGAAGAUUAGCAUGGUCCCUGCACAAUGAUGACAUGCAAAUUGUGAAGUAUUCCAAUUUUUU
Molecule: small nuclear RNA, 102 nt
Organism: Mesoplodon densirostris (Blainville's beaked whale)
Lineage: Eukaryota; Metazoa; Chordata; Mammalia; Artiodactyla; Ziphiidae
Source: RefSeq, a predicted model, not a curated record